Molecule: long non-coding RNA, 685 nt
Organism: Crotalus tigris (Tiger rattlesnake)
Lineage: Eukaryota; Metazoa; Chordata; Lepidosauria; Squamata; Viperidae
Exons: 3
Source: RefSeq, a predicted model, not a curated record
CUUAAUUAAAAUGAGAAGCAUGGGGGCUGGGCGGGGAGGGAGAAGAAAAGAGUCUGGGAGAGAUUUGGCGUUUGUCUUUCACUCUCCCCAUUGCUGUCAAUCUGCCUGUGUGGAGGGGAAGGAGAGGUGUUGGGGGACUCUCAUUCAGACCGGGGUUGAUAAGACCAAGGCUGACCUAUCUCACCCUGGGAGAUGGUCCCUCUCCUCCCAAACAGGCGGUCUGACCGUUGACAGCCGGCGAGGCCCGAUAAACUUAUCACUCCAAACACGGGUCGUCAACCCAACCCCUCCACCGCUUCAGAUUUCCAAGCUGCACUUUCCCACAUCAAUCCUGUUUGCUUUGCAAGCUUUUUCUACAGGAAUAUGUAUUUGCAAAGAGACCUGUAUUUCAGCGGCCCCUGUCCUUCUCCACCCUCAAAAUCUUCGACCCGGACCCAAAGGCUCAUGAAUGAGAAUCAACACACUUCUUCUUUCUCAGAAGAAACAGAGAUUCAAACAGAGGCAAAAUCUUUGCACAAUGGAUCAUGUAAACCAUGGAUAGCGAUGGAAAUAUCCUGAACACCAGAUCCUUUGUCUUCCACCCCGGAAACCUGGUGUCUGAUUUGUUUUUUUUUAUGGGUAGUUUUGCAGAUUUGCCUUACCUAUUCAACCUAGUUACAUCUACUAAACACUUCCUGUUAACGUA